This 411-nucleotide ribosomal RNA is filed under the name uncultured bacterium. RNAcentral's name for it is "bacterial SSU rRNA". It matches the Rfam family "Bacterial small subunit ribosomal RNA", at positions 99 to 507 of the family's 1533-position model. The record is from RNAcentral.
CGAACGGGUGAGUAACGCGUGAGGAACCUGCCUUUCAGUGGGGGACAACAGUUGGAAACGACUGCUAAUACCGCAUAACAUACACGGACCGCAUGAUCUGUGUAUCAAAGCUUUAUGUGCUGAAAGAUGGCCUCGCGUCUGAUUAGCUAGUUGGUGGGGUAACGGCCCACCAAGGCGACGAUCAGUAGCCGGUCUGAGAGGAUGAACGGCCACAUUGGUACUGAGACACGGACCAAACUCCUACGGGAGGCAGCAGUGAGGAAUAUUGGUCAAUGGGCGAGAGCCUGAACCAGCCAAGUAGCGUGAAGGAUGACUGCCCUACGGGUUGUAAACUUCUUUUGUUUGGGAAUAAAAGACGCUACGUGUAGCGUUGUGCAUGUACCUUACGAAUAAGCAUCGGCUAAUUCCGUG